GUGGAGCUGAGUGUACUAAGAGAGGUCCAAUAUGAAACUAUGCCAUUUUGAGAUAAUCAAGAAAUUUCUUUUAGUACUGCAUCCUCGAUCCGAUCGAAGUACCUUUAAAAAUUUUUUGAUUUAUUUUUCUACUUUACAUCUGAAUUUUUUGAAUCUUACAAAAAUUUUAGAUUUGUAUCUCAUAUACUUACCCAUACGAUGACUGAUCAUCAGUAAAGAUAAUGAAGCAGAGACAACUCUUUUAUUAGCACAUC
This 254-nucleotide long non-coding RNA is filed under the name Elaeis guineensis (African oil palm). RNAcentral describes it as "long non-coding RNA (EGUI_LNC049789)". Lineage: Eukaryota; Viridiplantae; Streptophyta; Magnoliopsida; Arecales; Arecaceae. The record is from RNAcentral.